Molecule: unclassified non-coding RNA, 296 nt
Filed under: Hevea brasiliensis (rubber tree)
Lineage: Eukaryota; Viridiplantae; Streptophyta; Magnoliopsida; Malpighiales; Euphorbiaceae
Source: RNAcentral
AAAAAAAAAAAAAACCACUGCCACUUGUUUCUUUCAACCAUAGCCUGCCAAACUCCCCUGAUCAUAGGACAAUCCCUUAAUUUAACAAGUUAUGACCAACCCACUAACACUCCAAAGAAUUUCUCUUCGUCCAUGCUGCUAAAUGCUACAAACAUCACCAUAAUCUCACAGUGGAUACUCAUCCUUAAGCUAAGAAGCUCUCAAAAACAUAAAUAAAAGCAUGUGUUUGAAACCAUCCACCAAGCUAAGAAGCUCUCAAAAACAUAAAUAAAAGCAUGUGUUUGAAACCAUCCACC